RNAcentral lists this unclassified non-coding RNA (165 nucleotides) under uncultured Ascomycota. Its description in RNAcentral is "sequence contains ITS1". The record is from RNAcentral. Lineage: Eukaryota; Fungi; Ascomycota.
CGAGAGUUGAAAAACUCCCAACCCUUUGUUUACCUACCUGUGGAAUCGUGCUUCGGCAGGCAGCCCCGUGGGACGGAGCCUCGCCUUCUUUCGAAGGUGCCUGCCGCUGGCCAGACACAAAACUCUGUUAUACUAGUUACUAUCUGAGUCUUAUACAAAUAAUCA